Molecule: non-coding RNA, 128 nt
Organism: Glycine soja
Lineage: Eukaryota; Viridiplantae; Streptophyta; Magnoliopsida; Fabales; Fabaceae
Source: Rfam
ACACAAAGAAACGUUGAUUACCACGUGUCACGUUCUGAUUGGACAUAAAAAGGUGCACACAAGAGUCAACUCUAACAUUUUUUUUGUUCAUCGUCCAAUUAGAAUGUGACACAUGGAAAUCAACAUUU